RNAcentral lists this ribosomal RNA (557 nucleotides) under Candida albicans. Its description in RNAcentral is "partial large subunit ribosomal RNA". It matches the Rfam family "Eukaryotic large subunit ribosomal RNA", at positions 38 to 572 of the family's 3401-position model. The record is from RNAcentral. Lineage: Eukaryota; Fungi; Ascomycota; Pichiomycetes; Serinales; Debaryomycetaceae.
GCAUAUCAAUAAGCGGAGGAAAAGAAACCAACAGGGAUUGCCUCAGUAGCGGCGAGUGAAGCGGCAAAAGCUCAAAUUUGAAAUCUGGCGUCUUUGGCGUCCGAGUUGUAAUUUGAAGAAGGUAUCUUUGGGCCCGGCUCUUGUCUAUGUUCCUUGGAACAGGACGUCACAGAGGGUGAGAAUCCCGUGCGAUGAGAUGACCCGGGUCUGUGUAAAGUUCCUUCGACGAGUCGAGUUGUUUGGGAAUGCAGCUCUAAGUGGGUGGUAAAUUCCAUCUAAAGCUAAAUAUUGGCGAGAGACCGAUAGCGAACAAGUACAGUGAUGGAAAGAUGAAAAGAACUUUGAAAAGAGAGUGAAAAAGUACGUGAAAUUGUUGAAAGGGAAGGGCUUGAGAUCAGACUUGGUAUUUUGCAUGUUGCUCUCUCGGGGGCGGCCGCUGCGGUUUACCGGGCCAGCAUCGGUUUGGAGCGGCAGGAUAAUGGCGGAGGAAUGUGGCACGGCUUCUGCUGUGUGUUAUAGCCUCUGACGAUACUGCCAGCCUAGACCGAGGACUGCGG